RNAcentral lists this ribosomal RNA (482 nucleotides) under uncultured bacterium. Its description in RNAcentral is "partial 16S ribosomal RNA". It matches the Rfam family "Bacterial small subunit ribosomal RNA", at positions 355 to 853 of the family's 1533-position model. The record is from RNAcentral.
UGGGGAAUAUUGCACAAUGGGCGAAAGCCUGAUGCAGCAACGCCGCGUGAGUGAUGAAGGCCUUCGGGUUGUAAAGCUCUGUCUUUUGGGACGAUAAUGACGGUACCAAAGGAGGAAGCCACGGCUAACUACGUGCCAGCAGCCGCGGUAAUACGUAGGUGGCAAGCGUUGUCCGGAUUUACGGGCGUAAAGGAUGCGUAGGCGGAUUUUUAAGUGAGAUGUGAAAACCCUAAGCUUAACUUGGGGACUGCAUUUCAUACUGGAAAUCUAGAGUGCGGGAGAGGAGAAUGGAAUUCCUAGUGUAGCGGUGAAAUGCGUAGAGAUUAGGAAGAACACCAGUGGCGAAGGCGAUUCUCUGGACCGUAACUGACGCUGAGGCAUGAAAGCGUGGGUAGCAAACAGGAUUAGAUACCCUGGUAGUCCACGCCGUAAACGAUGAGUACUAGGUGUAGGAGGUAUCGACCCCCUUCUGUGCCGCAGUU